CCGUCAAGAAUCGGUUAAUGAUUAACUUAAAUCUACAAAAAGCACAAUGAUUAACAUAGAUCUACAAAAAGCACAAACUAAUACAUGUAAACUGAAUUUAUAAGAAAUAAGGAAAGGAGUUGUCACAUCGGCCAUCCAGAUAUCAAUAGCAGGGUCUUCUCCCAUACGCAUGAGCUUCCACUUAUCGCUGAGCUACUGAGCUACCUAUAAGAAAUAUCGAUCAUUGGUCCACAUAAGUGCUUCAUUCAUUGUUAUGAGCGCCAAACCUAUUCAAAUAGCUUUAAUGGAAACUUACAUCUGCUGCUCUAGCUAUGGCGAGAGGGAGACAGCGAGUCGGCGAGAGGGAGAGGCGAGACGACGAGUCGGCGAGAGGGAGAGGCUUGACAACGAGAGGGAGAGGCGAGAGGGCUGACUGCUG
RNAcentral lists this long non-coding RNA (418 nucleotides) under Nicotiana tabacum (common tobacco). RNAcentral's name for it is "long non-coding RNA (NTAB_LNC011939)". The record is from RNAcentral. Lineage: Eukaryota; Viridiplantae; Streptophyta; Magnoliopsida; Solanales; Solanaceae.